Molecule: ribosomal RNA, 1948 nt
Filed under: human gut metagenome
Description: bacterial LSU rRNA
Rfam family: Bacterial large subunit ribosomal RNA
Source: RNAcentral
UUAAGCUAGAAAGAGCGCAGGGUGGAUGCCUUGGCACUAAGAGCCGAUGAAAGACGUGAUAAGCUGCGAAAAGCUUCGGGGAGGAGCAAAUAUCCUUUGAUCCGGAGAUCUCUGAAUGGGGAAACCUACUUGAGUGCACCUCAAGUGACGUAUGGUGAAUACAUAGCCAUACGCCGGGAACCCGGUGAACUGAAACAUCUAAGUAGCCGGAGGAAGAGAAAGAAACAUCGAUUCCGAAAGUAGCGGCGAGCGAAAUUGGAAGAGCCCAAACCGGAAUGCGUGCAUUCCGGGGUUAUGGACCACGUUAUGUGACCCGUAUGGUAAUGGAACAGUCUGGGAAGUCAGACCAGAGAGGGUGAAAGUCCCGUACAUGAAACCAGAAGGGAGCUAGUGGGAUCCAGAGUACUGCGAGACACGUGGAACCUUGCAGGAAGUCGGGGGGACCACCCCCCAAGGCUAAAUACUCCUUAGUGACCGAUAGCGCAUAGUACUGUGAAGGAAAGGUGAAAAGGACCCCGGGAGGGGAGUGAAAGAGAACCUGAAACCCUGUGUUUACAAGCUGUGGAAGCACGUUAAGGUGCGACCGCGUACUUUUUGUAGAACGGUCCGGCGAGUUGCGGAUGCUGGCAAGGUUAAGCACUAAAGGUGCGGAGCCGAAGCGAGAGCAAGUCUGAAUAGGGCGUCAAGUCAGCAUGUGCAGACCCGAAACCGGGUGAUCUAUCCAUGUCCAGGUUGAAGCGAAAGUAAAAUUUCGUGGAGGACCGAACGCACAUCCGUUGAAAAGGGUGGCGAUGAGGUGUGGAUAGGGGAGAAAUUCCAAUCGAACCCGGAGAUAGCUGGUUCUCCUCGAAAUAGCUUUAGGGCUAGCCUCGUAUUAGUCUGGUGGAGGUAGAGCACUGAAUUUCCUAGGGGGCGUCAAAGCCUACCGAAGAAUAUCAAACUCCGAAUGCCAUACAGAUGAUGUACGGGAGUCAGACGGCACGAGAUAAGUUGGGUCGUCAAAAGGGAAAGAGCCCAGACCUGCAGCUAAGGUCCCAAAGUGUGUGUUAAGUGGAAAAGGAUGUGGGAUUUCAAAGACAACUAGGAUGUUGGCUCAGAAGCAGCCACACAUUCAAAGAGUGCGUAAUAGCUCACUAGUCGAGAGGUCCUGCGCCGAAAAUGUCCGGGGCUGAAACACAACACCGAAGCUCAGGAAUGUAUUUAUACAUUGGUAGAGGAGCAUUCUUAAAGGGGCGAAGCAGUACCGAUAAGGAGCUGUGGACUUUUAAGAAGAGAGAAUGCCGGAAUGAGUAGCGAGAUGGAGGUGGGAAUCCUCCAGGCCGAAUAUCUAAGGUUUCCAGGGUAAAGCUGAUCUGCCCUGGGUAAGUCGGGGCCUAAGGCAAGGCUGAGAAGCGUAGCUGAUGGACAACAGGUUUAGAUUCCUGUACCACAUGGUAUCAGAACUGUGGGGACGCAGAGGGAUAAGAUGACCGGGGGACAGAUUCCCGGGCAAGCGCAGGAGGUGUCAGGCAGGCAAAUCCGUCUGACAAGCCAAAGGCGUGACGCGGACCGAACUCAAGUAGGGAAGCAUCCGAUUCCAGCUGCCGAGAAAAGCCGCUAUUGUGUAUCAUGUGCCCGUACCGUAAACCGACACAGGUGGAUGAGGAGAGAAUCCUAAGGCCGGCGGGAGAAGCAUUGUUAAGGAACUCGGCAAAAUGACCCCGUAACUUCGGGAGAAGGGGUGCUCUUAGAAAUAAGAGCCGCAGAGAAUUGGCCCAAGCAACUGUUUAGCAAAAACACAGGUCUAUGCAAAACCGAAAGGUGAGGUAUAUGGGCUGACGCCUGCCCGGUGCUGGAAGGUUAAGAGGAGAGGUUAGAGCAAUCGAAGCUUUGAAUUGAAGCCCCAGUAAACGGCGGCCGUAACUAUAACGGUCCUAAGGUAGCGAAAUUCCUUGUCGGGUAAGUUCCG